CCGACGGGUGAGUAACACGUAUGCAAUCCACCUGUAACAGGGGAGUAACCCGGAGAAAUCCGGACUAAUACCCAUAAUAUGGGCGCUCCGCAUGGAGAGUCCAUUAAAGAGAGCAAUCUUGGUUACAGACGAGCAUGCGCUCCAUUAGCCAGUUGGCGGGGUAACGGCCCACCAAGGCGACGAUGGAUAGGGGUUCUGAGAGGAAGGUCCCCCACAUUGGAACUGAGACACGGUCCAA
This 238-nucleotide ribosomal RNA is filed under the name uncultured bacterium. Its description in RNAcentral is "partial 16S ribosomal RNA". It matches the Rfam family "Bacterial small subunit ribosomal RNA", at positions 102 to 334 of the family's 1533-position model. The record is from RNAcentral.